RNAcentral lists this ribosomal RNA (433 nucleotides) under uncultured bacterium. Its description in RNAcentral is "partial 16S ribosomal RNA". It matches the Rfam family "Bacterial small subunit ribosomal RNA", at positions 29 to 507 of the family's 1533-position model. The record is from RNAcentral.
AGUGAACGCUGGCGGCAGGCCUAACACAUGCAAGUCGAACGAACUCUUCGGAGUUAGUGUCGGAUGGGUGAGUAACACGUGGGAACGUGCACUUAGGUUUGGAAUAACUCUGGGAAACUUGUGCUAAUACCGAAUGUUCGCUUAGGGGGAAAGAUUUAUUGCCUUUAGUGGGGCCAGCGUCAGAUUAGCUAGUUGGUGAGGUAAAGGCUCAAUAAGGCGACCAUUAGCAGCUGGUUAGAGAGACUGGUCAGCCACACUGGGACUGAGACGCGGCCCGAACUCCUACGGGAUGCGGGAGUGGGGGAUCGUGCGCAGUGGGCGAAAGCCUGACGCAGCCAUGCCGCGUGAAUGAUGUAAGUCUUAGGAAUGUAAAAUUCUUUCACCGGGGACGAUAAUGACGGUACCCGGUGAAGAAGCCCCGGCUAACUUCGUG